CGAACGGGUGAGUAAUACAUCGGAACGUGCCCAGUCUGGGGGAUAACUACUCGAAAGAGUAGCUAAUACCGCAUACGAUCUGAGGAUGAAAGCGGGGGACCUUCGGGCCUCGCGCGAUUGGAGCGGCCGAUGGCAGAUUAGGUAGUUGGUGGGAUAAAAGCUUACCAAGCCGACGAUCUGUAGCUGGUCUGAGAGGACGACCAGCCACACUGGGACUGAGACACGGCCCAGACUCCUACGGGAGGCAGCAGCG
RNAcentral lists this ribosomal RNA (253 nucleotides) under uncultured Delftia sp. RNAcentral's name for it is "partial 16S ribosomal RNA". It matches the Rfam family "Bacterial small subunit ribosomal RNA", at positions 99 to 356 of the family's 1533-position model. The record is from RNAcentral. Lineage: Bacteria; Pseudomonadati; Pseudomonadota; Betaproteobacteria; Burkholderiales; Comamonadaceae.